This 500-nucleotide ribosomal RNA is filed under the name uncultured bacterium. Its description in RNAcentral is "partial 16S ribosomal RNA". It matches the Rfam family "Bacterial small subunit ribosomal RNA", at positions 30 to 523 of the family's 1533-position model. The record is from RNAcentral.
AUUGAACGCUGGCGGAAUGCUUUACACAUGCAAGUCGAACGGCAGCACGGACUUCGGUCUGGUGGCGAGUGGCGAACGGGUGAGUAACAUAUCGGAACGUAUCCAAUAAUGGGGGAUAACGAGUCGAAAGAUUCGCUAAUACCGCAUACGCCCUACGGGGGAAAGCUGGGGACCUUCGGGCCUGGCGUUAAUGGAGCGGCCGAUAUCUGAUUAGCUAGUUGGUGAGGUAAAGGCUCACCAAGGCGACGAUCAGUGGCUGGUCUGAGAGGACGACCAGCCACACGGGAACUGAGACACGGUCCAGACUCCUACGGGAGGCAGCAGUGGGGAAUUUUGGACAAUGGGCGCAAGCCUGAUCCAGCCAUUCCGCGUGAGUGAAGAAGGCCUUCGGGUUGUAAAGCUCUUUCGCAAGGGAAGAAAACUUAGCCACUAACAUUGGUUGAGGUUGACGGUACCUUGAUAAGAAGCACCGGCUAACUACGUGCCAGCAGCCGCCGUAA